AACAAUUGCAAAAACACCCCUGCCCGAAAACUGCUCGCGCUGCACUGUGUACCGGUACACGGGCUCGCGUACCGGUACAACACCUGCGAAACAGCCAAACCCGAGCCUCGGGUUUGCACGAAAUCCGUCUGUAUACCGCUACACCAGCCCCAUACCGGUACAGCCAUCAGCGCGUACCGGUACAGCCAUCAACCCUGUACCGGUACACAGCCCUGCUGA
RNAcentral lists this long non-coding RNA (219 nucleotides) under Ananas comosus (pineapple). RNAcentral describes it as "long non-coding RNA (ACOM_LNC041613)". The record is from RNAcentral. Lineage: Eukaryota; Viridiplantae; Streptophyta; Magnoliopsida; Poales; Bromeliaceae.